GCAGUGGUGGUUUAGGGGUAGAACUCUCACCUUCCAUGCGGGAAACCUGGGUUUGAUUCCUGGCUAAUGCA
This 71-nucleotide transfer RNA is filed under the name Loxodonta africana (African savanna elephant). It matches the Rfam family "tRNA". From Rfam's summary of the family: Transfer RNA (tRNA) molecules are approximately 80 nucleotides in length. Their secondary structure includes four short double-helical elements and three loops (D, anti-codon, and T loops). Lineage: Eukaryota; Metazoa; Chordata; Mammalia; Proboscidea; Elephantidae. The record is from Rfam by way of RNAcentral.